UUCCAGCGUCUGGAUCCGCUGGAAGCAGCCAUGUUCGAUAUGUUUAAUGUUGGAUCAAUGUUCUCGGAAUCAUGCUGAUGUAAAAUUUAUUUCGCGCACGGCGAAUAAGUUGCCGUUGCACGCACCGCACGAAACCGCGGCCACGGUUCGACCGAGCUUUAUGGAAAAAUCACGGAGGAGAAAGAGGAAACGUCUGACAACUCCGAUAUUGAAGUUAACGUUCACGACGACGCUCGUAUCGCGCGGCUCGUAUGACGGCGAUGUGUUUGGCAAACCCCUCGUUUGCCAGGCGUCAAAAGAAGUGCAUGUUAUGCGGCGAGAAGUGUGUAGUGAAAGAGAUAGAGGGAGAGAGAGAGAGAGUUGAACGAGUAAUAGCGCGCGCGCGGAACGGGUAUAUCGAAAUAAAAUUCGGAAACUGGAUUUCCUUGGAAAAUACUGGACGCAUGGAAAAAAGCAUCCGGUAUCAAAGCGUAAUAAUGAAAAAUCAGUACGGAAAAUCAGCCUUUGACAACCAUAUAUUGCGGCCCGUGGAAUUGGACACGUUUUAUCAGCAACUUACACAAGCACGAACAUUUGAUGAAUUCAAAUAAAUUCUUUGUUAUCCGAGAAUAAAGUGGCAUAAGAAUGG
Long non-coding RNA from Wasmannia auropunctata (little fire ant), 628 nucleotides. RefSeq lists it as uncharacterized. The record is from RefSeq and is a predicted model, not a curated record. The transcript is spliced from 2 exons. NCBI's taxonomy places the organism in Eukaryota, Metazoa, Arthropoda, Insecta, Hymenoptera, Formicidae.